Molecule: transfer RNA, 73 nt
Filed under: Sedimentisphaera cyanobacteriorum
Lineage: Bacteria; Pseudomonadati; Planctomycetota; Phycisphaerae; Sedimentisphaerales; Sedimentisphaeraceae
Also listed under: 5 other names
Description: tRNA-Lys
Rfam family: tRNA
About the family: Transfer RNA (tRNA) molecules are approximately 80 nucleotides in length. Their secondary structure includes four short double-helical elements and three loops (D, anti-codon, and T loops).
Source: RNAcentral
GGGCGAUUAGCUCAGCUGGCAGAGCAGCUGACUCUUAAUCAGCGGGUCACAGGUUCGAAUCCUGUAUCGCCCA